RNAcentral lists this unclassified non-coding RNA (297 nucleotides) under Hevea brasiliensis (rubber tree). The record is from RNAcentral. Lineage: Eukaryota; Viridiplantae; Streptophyta; Magnoliopsida; Malpighiales; Euphorbiaceae.
GAAAAAUCAUUAGUAAUAAGGAACGGGGAAAUGGCAGGUGCUUUUUUGAUGUUCUACACAAAGACAAGGCAAUUUGACAUAGCAAAUUAUAAAUUAUUACAUGCAUUUGCAUGCAGAGAAUCAUUUGGUAACCUUGUGUAGUUUGAUCACUCACAACUUAAGUUAAUUUCAAUUCCUCCUUUAAACAUCUCCCAGAAAGAGCUUACAGUAAAAAAUUAAUCUUCCAAAUCCAAAUACUACCUUCUCCACACGAAAUGUUAUAGAACCAACUGAGUGUAGAAAUUGGUUUUGAUCUUG